GCACCCGUAGCUCAGCUGGAUAGAGCACCAGACUACGAAUCUGGGGGCCGGAGGUUCGAAUCCUUCCGGGUGCGCCA
RNAcentral lists this transfer RNA (77 nucleotides) under Erythrobacter sp. RNAcentral's name for it is "tRNA-Arg". It matches the Rfam family "tRNA". From Rfam's summary of the family: Transfer RNA (tRNA) molecules are approximately 80 nucleotides in length. Their secondary structure includes four short double-helical elements and three loops (D, anti-codon, and T loops). Further hydrogen bonds mediate the characteristic L-shaped molecular structure. tRNAs have two regions of fundamental functional importance: the anti-codon, which is responsible for specific mRNA codon recognition, and the 3' end, to which the tRNAs corresponding amino acid is attached (by aminoacyl-tRNA synthetases). tRNAs cope with the degeneracy of the genetic code in two manners: having more than one tRNA (with a specific anti-codon) for a particular amino acid; and 'wobble' base-pairing, i.e. permitting non-standard base-pairing at the 3rd anti-codon position. The record is from RNAcentral. Lineage: Bacteria; Pseudomonadati; Pseudomonadota; Alphaproteobacteria; Sphingomonadales; Erythrobacteraceae. RNAcentral also lists the same sequence under 5 other names.